GACACCGUAGCCAAGUGGUUACGGCGACAGAUUAGAAUACCCUUCUAGCCAUCUGUUUCACUUUGUGAGCACAGGUUCGAAUCCUGUCGGUGUCG
This 95-nucleotide transfer RNA is filed under the name Coprinopsis cinerea okayama7#130. It matches the Rfam family "tRNA". Rfam says of the family: Transfer RNA (tRNA) molecules are approximately 80 nucleotides in length. Their secondary structure includes four short double-helical elements and three loops (D, anti-codon, and T loops). RNAcentral also lists the same sequence under 1 other name. Lineage: Eukaryota; Fungi; Basidiomycota; Agaricomycetes; Agaricales; Psathyrellaceae. The record is from Rfam by way of RNAcentral.